Acanthochromis polyacanthus (spiny chromis) is the source of this 1032-nucleotide long non-coding RNA. RefSeq lists it as uncharacterized. NCBI's taxonomy places the organism in Eukaryota, Metazoa, Chordata, Actinopteri, Pomacentridae. The record is from RefSeq and is a predicted model, not a curated record. The transcript has 3 exons.
CGUCAUUGUUUAGGAUGUCGUCUGAAAUGUCACCAAAAUUGCAUAAAAACGUCACAGUUUGGUAUGUCGUCCGAAAUGUCACCAAAACAUCAUAAAAACGUCAUAGGUUUGUACCUUGUCCAAAAAGUCACCAAAACGUCAUUGUUUAGGAUGUCGUCUGAAAUGUCACCAAAAUUGCAUAAAAACGUCACAGUUUAGUACGUCGUCCAAAAAGUCACCAAAACGUCAUUGUUUAGGAUGUCGUCUGAAAUGUCACCAAAACUGCAUAAAAACGUCACAGUUUGGUAUGUCGUCCGAAAUGUCACCAAAACAUCAUAAAAACGUCAUAGGUUAGUACCUUGUCCAAAAAGUCACCAAAACGUCAUUGUUUAGGAUGUCGUCUGAAAUGUCACCAGAACGGCAUAAAAACAUCAUUGUUUAGGAUGUCGUCCGAAAUGUCACCAAAAUUGCAUAAAAACGUCACAGUUUAGUAUGUUGUCCAAAAUGUAACCAAAACGUCAUUGUUUAGGAUGUCGUCUGAAAUGUCACCAAAAUUGCAUAAAAACGUCACAGUUUGGUAUGUCGUCCGAAAUGUCACCAAAACAUCAUAAAAACGUCAUAGGUUAGUACCUUGUCCAAAAAGUCACCAAAACGUCAUUGUUUAGGAUGUCGUCUGAAAUGUCACCAGAACGGCAUAAAAACAUCAUUGUUUAGGAUGUCGUCCGAAAUGUCACCAAAAUUGCAAAAAAACGUCACAGUUUAGUAUGUCGUCCAAAAAGUCACCAAAACUGCAUAAAAACGUCACAGUUUAGUAUCUUGUCCGAAAUGUCACCAAAAUUGCAUAAAAACGUCACAGUUUAGUACGUCGUCCAAAAAGUCACCAAAACGUCAUUGUUUAGGAUGUCGUCUGAAAUGUCACCAAAAUUGCAUAAAAACGUCAUAGUUUAGUAUGUUGUCCAAAAUGUAACCAAAACGUCAUUGUUUAGGAUGUCGUCUGAAAUGUCACCAAAAUUGCAUAAAAACGUCACAGUUUAGUACGUCGUCCAAAAAGUC